Molecule: long non-coding RNA, 3195 nt
Organism: Cottoperca gobio
Lineage: Eukaryota; Metazoa; Chordata; Actinopteri; Perciformes; Bovichtidae
Source: Ensembl
UUCAAAAAUCACAAAAGCAGUGGUGAAGAUUAUCUUGCUGAAGGAAACGUGUAAGUAUCACAAAAUGUUUGUUUGCCACAGAGAUUAUUUUCUGCAAUAAUCCAAAAUAUAAUGGAACAAUCCCAUUGGCUCUUUGUCGAGGGAACCAACCUGGAAGAUCGGCCUGCAAAACAUCCCUGCAGCACUAAAUAAAGUCAGGCAAUAAUUGGCCUUUUCCCAUCUUUCUGUGAGCAACCAUGAUCCAUCAGAUCAUUAUGCUGCACGUGACAUGAGUCUGCAAACAUCAAGGUGAAAGUAUUUGGCUUCCUCAGCUCACUGUGGCCGCUCCUGACUCUUCCAUUGACCCUGCCAUAUUUAAAAAGUCUUGUUUUGUAGACACAUGUUUGAUUGAUAGCGGUCAGUGUCCCGACAAACACAUUGCAUUUCCUGUGACUACUUCAUGCUUGUAUUGUGAAGCUGCAUUGUUACAGAGUGUUACAUCAGCAGUAACUUCAUUUAAAAGAAUUUAAGAGUAAAGUCUUCCACUUCCUGUCUUCUCUUUACCUCUCAGGUGAACGAGUUCUCCGUCGAACCUCCUGGUCACUCGGACGAUGAGUAUGAAGUUAUGGAGCAAGCUCAUCCUGCAGAGCUGCAGACAGACCUGCAGCCGGGCCCGGCAACACAAACCCAGAGCCAGUUAAACCCACACAGGCCGCUCAGCCUCGACUUUACACAACCGACACACUAAAUCCCUCAGCCUGCCUUACCUGACCUCCCCCAUCCUCGUAUCGGAGGACUCCUGCUCUGAAGAGGAGGCCGCAGCGGACGACAGUGAUGAUAACGAUUACAGUAGUGAUGACGACGAGAACAUGUUUGUUAAAAGCCUUCCGGCUGAUUUCUUUUUAAACAAUUUGCCCUUUGAAACAAUCACUGAUACACAGAGAGGUUGCACUCUCGAUGGAGCUCGUCGAUCACAGAGCUCUGAGAACGGACCGCUUGGAUUCUCUGCAUGUGAAGACUCAACUGCUGGAGCUGUGGAGCAGGUGGACGGGAAAGACGAAGGAAAGGAGAUCACACAGAAGGACGAGGAAGAUCACCGGGGACGAGAGCGACUGGAAAACAAUAGGCAAAGCGAAGCGACCGAGGAAGAUGUCAUGAAGGAUACUGAAAGUGACAAAGAACAACCUCUCACUGCAGAGGCAUUGACACACUGCUGCUUUGACUUUCCACCGCCCAGCGACGAUGACUCGUGCGAUGUGGCCGACAUGAAGGUCGGGGAGGAGGCGGACAUGUUUGACGAUCUUCCCAGUGAUUAUCCACCUUGUCAUGAAGUUCCUUGUGCAACACAAAAAGAAACCGAUGACGUUUCUUCAGAGGAGUUCAGAGACAUUUCUGCGAGGGCAACAGAGCAGCCGACGAAGGAGAGAGACCGUGAUGAGGGAGAGGACAGGGAGGUGUGCAAAGAGACGGAGGACACAUGUAUAAAAGAAAGGGAUGAGAACAUGUGGGAAGAAACCACUGAGGAGGGCAAUGAAGUGAUGGCUGAAGAAGCACAUCGAGAACAGACGCAGCGAGGUGGAGGAGAGCAGAAGAGUGCAAUUUGUGAGACAAGCAGGGACAUUUGGGUUGAACUUGAAGAUGGUUCAUGUGAAGUUAUAGAGGAUGAGGAAGGAAAGCAGGCCGAGAAAAAGGAUGCAAGCGAUGGAGUUGCUGGGGAGGGAGAUGCGAUGGAAGAUGUUGAAGUUGGAAAGGAGGAAGAGCAGGUAGCGAAGAUUUCAGGAGAGCAAAUGGUGGAAGUUGACAAAGGAAACACAAACGAGACAGAAGUUAGAGUGGAGGUGUUGGAGGCGACUGAAGGAAAGCUCACAGAUCCAGAGAGGCGGCAAGAGUUUGAGGAAAAAGAGACAAACUUACCAAAGACAAGUGAACUAGAAGAAGCAACUCAAGGGAAGCAUGCCGUCAAUACCAAAGCACAGCACCACGAGAGAGAAGAAGAGGCUUCAGGAGAGAAAGAAAAGGAGAACACUGACAAAGAGAGAGCCGAUGAGCGACGUCAAGCGCAGCCCGGUGCAGAUAAACAGCGUGAAGAGGUCAGGUGUGAGAGGGACGAAUCGAAAGAGGGCAGCGGCCAAGGAGGAGUAGGAAGGAAGCUGGUCACCUCCAAACACCUGAGGGUUUACCAAGUAAGAGCGGUGCCGGUCGUGCCUCCGAAGCCGCAGCACUGCAAGAUCACCGCUCUGUCAAUCCGCCAGCAUCAGCAGCAGAGAGAGAGAAGAGACGCCGACAGAGGGGGGGGAGACACGCCGAGGGUCCCGACGGAGCAGGACGUGGUCCACGCCGGAGACGGAGAGAGGGAGAAGAGGAGGGAUGGGGACGAAAGUGCCACAAGAGACACGAGCAGAAACAGUCCGAUCAGCAUGUGUUUUGAUGAGGCUGUUGCCAUAGCAACCCUCAGGCGAGGAAAAGAGAAGGAUUGCGAGAAGGAGAAGGAGAGGCAGAGGGACCGGGGCAAUGAAGUCCAGUGAAGGUUGUCUGUAUAGUGAUUUGACUGUACAAACUAUUUUUUCUACGUGCAGCAUGAAAGGGCUGUGUUAUUGUAAGUCUGCUGAAGAUGUUUAGAUGGUUUAUCCAACACGCACACACUUGAUGCGCAGUCAGGUUUUUAAAAAAUAUUUUUCAGAGGAGGAUUUAUUUCCCUUUAUUAGUCAGAUAACCGUAAAGAGCUGAGCAAAUGAAACGGGGAGACUGGGACCAGGGACGACGCAAUUACACCCCAUCAGGAAGCUUAUAAAUGAAUAGCUGUAGUUGUGCUGCCUCCCAGAGGUGGGAUUAAAGGUGUAGUGCUGCUGAAACAUGUUGAGGAUUAAACAUUACAUGCAUAACCCAGAACUUUAAAAGUACAAAUGAAAGCGAUUAACUCCAGCUCACUCUCGUUUGCACUCGUCGUCUAAUUAUGCAAUACUUUGUAAUUGUAUACAGUGCAUGUGUAAUUAAACGGCUGGCAAGUGUAUGGUUAAAGAUUCAGAAGAGCGGGGAUGUUGAAUCGAAUCAUUCAUGGGAAUUAUAAUAUCUGCAAAACACAUUUUGGAUUAUGUGAAUAAAAAGAUGUUUCCAAGAUGUCUGUCAUUCUUAUUAUUUGAACAAGUAUCACAUAUAGAACAAAAGUGACAGUCAAGACAUCAAUUGCCUUAUUAUUAUAUUAAUAUAUUACUGACU